CAGCCGCCGCGGGAAUACGUAGGUCCCGAGCGUUGUCCGGAUUUAUUGGGCGCAAAGCGAGCGCAGGCGGUUAGAUAAGUCUGAAGUUAAAGGCUGUGGCUUAACCAUAGUACGCUUUGGAAACUGUUUAAUUUGAGUGCAAGAGGGGAGAGUGGAAUUCCAUGUGUAGCGGUGAAAUGCGUAGAUAUAUGGAGGAACACCGGUGGCGAAAGCGGCUCUCUGGCUUGUAACUGACGCUGAGGCUCGAAAGCGUGGGGAGCAAACAGGAUUAGAUACCCCCGUAGUCCCUGUCUCUUAUACA
This 301-nucleotide ribosomal RNA is filed under the name uncultured bacterium. RNAcentral's name for it is "partial 16S ribosomal RNA". It matches the Rfam family "Bacterial small subunit ribosomal RNA", at positions 509 to 808 of the family's 1533-position model. The record is from RNAcentral.